RNAcentral lists this ribosomal RNA (386 nucleotides) under uncultured bacterium. RNAcentral's name for it is "bacterial SSU rRNA". It matches the Rfam family "Bacterial small subunit ribosomal RNA", at positions 132 to 507 of the family's 1533-position model. The record is from RNAcentral.
AAUAGGAGGGGGAUACCAGUUGGAAACGACUGUUAAUACCCGCAUAAUGUCUACGGACCAAAGUGUGGGACCUUCGGGCCACAUGCUAUCGGAUGCGCCUACGUGGGAUUAGCUAGUUGGUGAGGUAAUGGCUCACCAAGGCGACGAUCUCUAGCUGGUUUGAGAGGAUGAUCAGCCACACUGGAACUGAGACACGGUCCAGACUCCUACGGGGAGGCAGCAGGUGGGGAAUAUUGGACAAUGGGCGCAAGCCUGAUCCAGCCAUGCCGCGUGUGUGAAGAAGGCCGUUAGGGUUGUAAAGCUACUUUCAGCGAGGAGGAAGGGGUUGUAGUUAAUAGCUGCAAUCUUUGACGUUACUCGCAGAAGAAGCACCGGCUAACUCUGUG